This 1333-nucleotide long non-coding RNA is filed under the name Parus major (Great Tit). Its description in RNAcentral is "lncRNA (ENSPMJG00000000563.1)". Lineage: Eukaryota; Metazoa; Chordata; Aves; Passeriformes; Paridae. The record is from RNAcentral.
AUGGUAUUUUACAGGCUCAAAUUGAGGGGAAGGAACUCUUCUCGCUGCUGUGGGAUGGUGAGCACAGUGAUCGUGCUCCUCUCUGCGGUGGGGAAGCUCUGGCAGAGGGAUGCUCUCCAAGUGUGGUUUCUGUGCCUAUCCCCUGUUUUGGAUGCCAAAGACCUUCCUUUAUUGGAUCCACGUUUUCUGGUGGACAAUCCGGCUGUGGCUUGUCUGUCUCAGUGGAUGAUGCAGUGUCCCUUGAAGGCAGUGCUACUGCAGCACACCCAAAAAACAGUGAAAGGAAAGCUGUACUGUCUCCAGGAUGCCAAUGACACCUCUGCAGGAGCUUGAUUCCAGUGCUGGACCUGACUACCAGUGCAAAGACCAGUGCCACCUCAGGAGGUAAGGGUCAUGGCUGGUACACGAUGGAGAAGAGAGAGGGAGGUGUUUGGUUUGAACUUCGUGUGGAUGGAGGCAGCAAAGGACAGGGAGUGACUGUGGAGCUGUUUGGAAGAGAGGCCUCAGGGACAGGGAGAGGUUUGGUCCAAGAACUACAUGAAGAAUCAGUCAUUGUCAGCACCACCAGCCUCUUGUGGAUGUCAUGGUAGAUGGGUGUCAGGGACCACAGGUACAUCUGACAAGAAGAGAUAAUUUCUACAGAUGGCAGUUGUAUUCCUGUUCACUCACUAAAGGGAGAGGCCAGUAUUGCUUGGGAGAAGGAGAGAUUUAAAUACUGAGGGAAAGAAAAUGAGUGAAAUGAAUCAAUGGUAGGCUGUAUCUACUGGUGAAGGGAGGCUGGCAGACAUCUCUGUGUUACCAGAAUGUAUGUGUCCCUAUUCAGGCUAAUACAAAUAUCACUCUCCAAAACAACUUUUGGGCAUGCUUUGGGGGUCAAGACCAAUCCAUAGCCACUCCUAAGAUGUGGCUUGUGAGCAUACAAUCUAGUUUGGAAAGUGAGAUACUUUAAUAAUGUGAAUAUGAGCUUCAGUGCCUGAGAGUGGUUGUAGUCACUAUUCACUAGCAAAGUUGAAGCAUUAGAUAUUUGAUAAAGUUUUUUGCACCUAAAUUAGGGCAAGAAAGUCCUGGCCAAACUGUCUAAGAAAGAGGAAAUCUUGGGCAUGAAGUUCUUAUAAAUUGGGGGCAGAGUGGUUGGAAAGUGGCCCAGCAGAAAAGGACCUUGGGGUGCUGGUUGACAGAAGCUGAACAAGAGCCAGGGUGUGCCCAGGUGGCCAAGAAGGCCAGUGGCAUCCUGGCCUGUAUCAACAAUGGUGUGGCCAGCAGGACCAGGGCAGUGAUUGUCCCCUAUACUCAGCACUGGCGAGGGCACACCUCGAGUCCUGUGUUCAGUUCU